Molecule: transfer-messenger RNA, 397 nt
Filed under: Flavobacteriales
Lineage: Bacteria; Pseudomonadati; Bacteroidota; Flavobacteriia
Also listed under: 1 other name
Description: PHOS-HE28 sp016699575 Standard tmRNA
Rfam family: transfer-messenger RNA
About the family: Bacterial tmRNA, also known as 10Sa RNA or SsrA, is named for its dual tRNA and mRNA-like properties. Its role is to liberate the mRNA from a stalled ribosome.
Source: RNAcentral
GGGGCCGACAUGGUUUCGACAGCGGCUUCGUAAUGGUUGUAAGCAUGCAGAGCGGUGAUGUACGGCUCUUCAAAACGAACAUCACGCCAUAACAGGCGACAACAGCUACGCUCUCGCUGCCUAAUAGCCUCAGGCUAUGAAGCUUUAUCCACGUGAAGUACAGUAGCGUGGACGAGUACCCCUCGGAACGAUCCGUCAUCCACGAGCCGGCAUAGGGGUAUCAGCUUGGAAGACUGGCCAAUGCGGUGGUCCGGAGCAUUGGUGAGAAACAGGACCUAAGUCCAUGCUGGGGUGCCCCUUCCCAGGCGUGGAUCUAAAACCAACAAGACGGAUAAGCAUGUAGAAAGCAGCCCUUGCGGUCGUUUGGACGAGGGUUCGAAUCCCUCCGGCUCCACAA